GUGGCCCCAAGUCAGGCGAAGCCCACCCGCCGAGUUUAA
This 39-nucleotide ribosomal RNA is filed under the name Alpinia pumila. RNAcentral describes it as "partial 26S ribosomal RNA". The record is from RNAcentral. Lineage: Eukaryota; Viridiplantae; Streptophyta; Magnoliopsida; Zingiberales; Zingiberaceae. RNAcentral also lists the same sequence under 1 other name.